UCCUACGGGAGGCAGCAGUGGGGAAUAUUGCACAAUGGGGGAGACCCUGAUGCAGCCAUGCCGCGUGUGUGAAGAAGGCCUUCGGGUUGUAAAGCACUUUCAGCAGUGAGGAAGGUCGUGUACUUAAUACGUGCACGGCUUGACGUUAGCUGCAGAAGAAGCACCGGCUAACUCCGUGCCAGCAGCCGCGGUAAUA
RNAcentral lists this ribosomal RNA (196 nucleotides) under uncultured Salinivibrio sp. RNAcentral describes it as "partial 16S ribosomal RNA". It matches the Rfam family "Bacterial small subunit ribosomal RNA", at positions 337 to 525 of the family's 1533-position model. Lineage: Bacteria; Pseudomonadati; Pseudomonadota; Gammaproteobacteria; Vibrionales; Vibrionaceae. The record is from RNAcentral.